This 527-nucleotide ribosomal RNA is filed under the name uncultured bacterium. RNAcentral's name for it is "bacterial SSU rRNA". It matches the Rfam family "Bacterial small subunit ribosomal RNA", at positions 52 to 573 of the family's 1533-position model. The record is from RNAcentral.
UACCAUGCAGUCGAGCGGAGAUGAGGUGCUUGCACCUUAUCUUAGCGGCGGACGGGUGAGUAAUGCUUAGGAAUCUGCCUAUUAGUGGGGGACAACAUUCCGAAAGGAAUGCUAAUACCGCAUACGUCCUACGGGAGAAAGCAGGGGAUCUUCGGACCUUGCGCUAAUAGAUGAGCCUAAGUCGGAUUAGCUAGUUGGUGGGGUAAAGGCCUACCAAGGCGACGAUCUGUAGCGGGUCUGAGAGGAUGAUCCGCCACACUGGGACUGAGACACGGCCCAGACUCCUACGGGAGGCAGCAGUGGGGAAUAUUGGACAAUGGGGGGAACCCUGAUCCAGCCAUGCCGCGUGUGUGAAGAAGGCCUUAUGGUUGUAAAGCACUUUAAGCGAGGAGGAGGCUACUGGGACUAAUACUCUUGGAUAGUGGACGUUACUCGCAGAAUAAGCACCGGCUAACUCUGUGCCAGCAGCCGCGGUAAUACAGAGGGUGCGAGCGUUAAUCGGAUUUACUGGGCGUAAAGCGUGCGUA